ACUCAAAUGAAUUGACGGGGACUCGCACAAGUGGUGGAACAUGUGGCUUAAUUCGUCGACAAGCGAAGAACCUUACCAGGGUUAGAAAUCCAGCUGCACGCCCUCAGAAACGAGGGAAGCCUUCGAGGGUGCUGGACAGGUGAUGCAUGGUCGUCGUCAGUUCGUGGUUUGAACUGUUCCCUUCAGUGGGGUAACGAACGCAACCCCCGUUGCCUGUUAUAUAUGUCAGGCGAGACUGCUCCCUCACGGGAGAGGAAGGUGGGGAUGACGCCAGAUCAGCAUGUCCCUUGAUACCCUGGGCUGCACACGUGUUACAAUGGUCGAUACAGAAGGAUGCAAGACCGCAAGGUGGAGCAAAUCCCGAAAAUCGUCCUCAGUACGGAUUGAGGUCUGCAACCGACCUCAUGAAGCCGGAAUCACUAGUAAUCGUAGGUCAGCCAUACUACGGUGAAUACGUUCUCGAGUCUUGUACACACCGCCCGU
This 483-nucleotide ribosomal RNA is filed under the name uncultured bacterium. Its description in RNAcentral is "partial 16S ribosomal RNA". It matches the Rfam family "Bacterial small subunit ribosomal RNA", at positions 899 to 1397 of the family's 1533-position model. The record is from RNAcentral.